GACGAACGCUGGCGGCGUGCCUAAUACAUGCAAGUAGAACGCAGUUGCGAACGGGUGAGUAACGCGUAGGUAACUGCCUGGUAGCGGGGGAUAACUAAUGGAAACGAUAGCUAAUACCGCAUACUACCAGAUGGACCUGCGUUGUAUUAGCUAGUUGGUGAGGUAACGGCUCACCAAGGCAACGAUACAUAGCCGACCUGAGGAGGUGAUCGGCCACACUGGGACUGAUACACGGCCCAGAUUCCUACGGGAGGGAGCAAUAAGGAAUCUUCGGCAAUUGGUGGAACCCUGACCGAGCAACGCCGCGUGGGUGGAGAAGGUUUUCGGAUCGUAAAGCUCUGUUGUUAAGGAAGCGGUACUUAACCAGAAAGGGACGGCUAACUACGUGCCAGCAGCCGCGGUAAUAC
Molecule: ribosomal RNA, 407 nt
Filed under: uncultured bacterium
Lineage: Bacteria
Description: partial 16S ribosomal RNA
Rfam family: Bacterial small subunit ribosomal RNA
Source: RNAcentral